RNAcentral lists this long non-coding RNA (1038 nucleotides) under Cyanistes caeruleus (blue tit). RNAcentral's name for it is "lncRNA (ENSCCEG00000019062.1)". Lineage: Eukaryota; Metazoa; Chordata; Aves; Passeriformes; Paridae. The record is from RNAcentral.
UGUGUUUGUUCUCUCCUUUACAGGGGAAAAGGAAGAGAGUGAUGUGCCAGAAGUUUAUUAUUUUGCUAUUUUUCAUUUUUAAUAUCACCAACAAUUGUAGGAAAUAAUUCUGAGAAAAAUUACAUAAGAGAUGAGUUGUGAAGGCAAGAGAAGAACAGGAAAUAAAGUGGAAAAAUCGGGGCAUGGACUAAAGGAUUUCUGUGAGAUACCACGAGAGGACAUCUGUUUCAUCUCUGACCUGCAGCUUUGCUGGUGAGAGUGCUUUUUUGAAAUUUUCCCCACAAGGAAAAUCAGAACUAUAUGGGAAUAUGAAGUUCACAGCGUUGAAUAAGAAAAAGUCUGCAAGAGGACAACGGACCUUGGUGUGCCUUUUCAGAUCCAUUUAGACUCUCUUGUAAAUACAAUAGAUCUGUGAGCUUCUGACCACUGAAUAACAUUUCACUUGAGUGGUUUUUAGUUUUCCUGAAUUUUCAGGAAGAGGAUGGAGGUGUAUAUAUAUGAAGGAUGAGAGUUUAUUCACACACACUCUUGCAUAAAUACACAAAUAGGUUAAGAAAGCCAAUAUUGUCAGUACUUUGCUGCUUUCAGAUACAAUACUGAAAUCUUCACAUAACAAUCAUGUGAGUGAAAAACUAAACAGUUUAAAAUCAUACUGUAAUUUAGUUUUCAAUUAUACAUCCAUAAGUAAUUUUACUUGCACGUAGUCCACUGAAAGCUGGCUUAUGAAGUUAUUUCAAUUAUCUGUCUUCUUAAGUAACUGGAGAAUGAAGUAAUAUAUUUCAACAGUUGUAAACACUGCAGUUUUGCUUGUUGAAGGGUUUUGUUCUAUUAGAUUUUCCCCUCAUGAAUUUAAUUUUAAUUAUGCCAGAAAACAUAGUCAAGCUGCUUCUAGUACUUUGACUUGGCUGUGCUGAGGUGGAAAUUGCCAUAAAGACACAAACUUUGUUUUAUUCUUUUGAGGGAACAAGGCAGAGGGAGACUAUUAAACAUCACUGCAAACUUGAGAUGAAAUCAAUUAAAUUAUAUGAUCAGGAUGUA